This is a long non-coding RNA of Equus caballus (horse), 2366 nucleotides long. Lineage: Eukaryota; Metazoa; Chordata; Mammalia; Perissodactyla; Equidae. The record is from Ensembl.
AUUCUCUCUUUAUCUUUAAUGCUUGACAUUUUAAUUAUAAUGUGUCUUAGUGUGUGCCUCUUUGAGUUUAUCUGGUCUGGUACUCUCUGUGCUUCCUGUACUUGGAUUUCUGUUUACUUCCUGAGGUUGGGAAAAUUUUCAGCUGUUAUUUCUUUGAAUACAUUCUCUGCCUUUUAUCUCUCUCUUCUGCUUCUGAGACACCUGUAAGAUGGAUGUUUGUGUGCUUGAUGUUGUUCCAGAAGUAUCUUAGACUAUCCUUGUUCUUCUUAAUUAUUUUUUCCUUUAUCUGUUCAUCUUGGGUGAUUUCCUCUAGUCUUUCAUCCAGUUUGCUGAUCUGUUCUUCUGUAUCAUCUACUCUGCUAAUGAUAGCCUCUAGUGAAUUGUUCAUUUCCAGGAUUGUAUUCUUCAUUUCUGAUUGGUUCUUUUUUAUAUUUUCCAAUUUUUUGUUGAAGUUCUCACUAAGUUCAUCCAUUCUUCUCCCAAGGUCAGUGAGCAUUGUUAUGACUUUUCAUUUGAGCUCUUUGUCAGGUAGAUUGUUUAUUUUUUUUCAUUUAGUUCUUUUUCUUGCUGUUUUCCUGUUCCCUUACUUGGAAUGUAUUCAUUUUCAUCCUCAUUUUGCCUCUUUCUCUAUUCUUAUAUCAAUUUAUUAGGUAAGUCAGCUAUGUCUCCUGAUCUUGGAGAGGUGGCCUUAUGUUAGAGAUGCUGUAUGAGGCCCAGCAGUGUGCUUCCCUCUCAUCACCAGUGCCAAGUGUUCUAGUGGUGACUCCUGUGUGUCCUCCUGUUGUGUCAGGGUUGCUCUUGCUGCAGGUGCCCAGGGAGGCUAGGCUGUUCCCCUGGCCAAUUGGUUGUAAUGUUCUGCUGUGUGUAACUGCUAUGGGCCCUUCAGUCCCUUUAUCAUUCAUGGGGUGCCCCAGCACAGUUGGCUGCAAAGUCUAACAGCACAUUCAUGUUGUAGUUUUUCUGUUAAAUGACUAGGCCUCCAGAAUGGCUGAUUGCUAGGCUGAGGGGCUUACAAUUGCUGUAUGCCUCCAGCCUACAAGGCUCCUGUCAGCUUUCUCAGGGUUGUGCCUGAGUGGGGCUGGCCCUAGCCAUGGGAGCACUCAAUUGUUUCAGGUUUUGGAAGGUGGGGCCAAUCCCCUAUGUAGCUGUCUGAGAAGAACAAGUCUUUUGCCACUGGCAAGCCCCACCACCCACAGGGCCACACAAUCUGUCAACAGAGUCCUGCCCCACGUGUACAACCUCACCCACUGAAGCAGACCCAGUUGUCCCAGUGCAGAGGCCCCACACAUUCCACCAGUGCCUGACACACUCCACCUGUUCUUUGUGCGUGCCCUUCCCCUCAGAGGUGGACACACUUACUGGGCUACAGAGGAUCCAGGCACCCAGCUAUGCAUGCCCACAAGUUGCUUGAGGGCUUGCUGUUGGGUGGUGCCAGGCUUUAGGGCAGGCUGCUUGCCCCAGCUGAGCUGAAUUAAAUUGGCUCCCUAGUGCACAGGGCAAAUCCUGGGUUGACAGGCCAGUGGAAGAACACCAAUGACAUCUGCCAGCAUCUGUGUCAGUAAGCCUGAACUAGGUCACAAUAAUGGCUGACGCCAAUGUCUCAGUCCCUGGAGAAGUCUCACCUCUCACUGAGAUGCACCCAGAGCCUAUUAGAAUGCACACACAUUGUUGGAGCAGUCACUCCAAAGCCAGUGUAAAGCCAGUGCAAGGCAGAAAAGCUGAAAUGGACGGAAGUGUUCAGUACGUGUGAAGCCAAGAUUUGGGAGUGGCCACCUGAAGAGUCACCUGUCAGCAGCCCCACUCAGCUUCCCUGUUUGCUGGCCCCCAGUUGGCAGCACCUUGGGCUGAGUGAGCUCCAUGGGAACUGGGAAGAGGAAUUCCUCCAGAAAUUCCACAGGCCCCUUCUGUAAUGGACAGUGCCUGUUCUGCAACUGGCUGCUGAGCUAGACAUCCAGGAGGUAGAACAGUUUUCUUGUUGUCCUCAGUACCCUGUAGAUGAGCAGCGAGUGCUCAUUAUCUUCAGUGUGCUCACUGCCUGCAAGACAGUGGAGUUUGAGUCCAUUUUAUGGUCUCCCUCAGAGAAGCCAGGGACGAGUCCACUUUAAUCUGGCGGUGACUGGCCAAAGAGUGCCUGGAAGCUGUAAGCCCCACCUGCCCAUCUCAAAGACUGAAGUCAGUAUCUCAUGACAUAUCUGUGAGCCUUCCACAGUGCACCAUUGAGCUGUUGGGAAGCUUUGCUCCAUAGCACACAGCAAAAUGUUUUAUUCACAGAAGAUGGAAAGGAAAGGAAAAAUUCAGGAGCCUUUCUGUAGAAACUAGAACCUAAAGAGGAAAGAGUGAUAGCCACUGUCAAGCGUAGUUGAGAG